This 1442-nucleotide ribosomal RNA is filed under the name uncultured Ralstonia sp. RNAcentral describes it as "bacterial SSU rRNA". It matches the Rfam family "Bacterial small subunit ribosomal RNA". The record is from RNAcentral. Lineage: Bacteria; Pseudomonadati; Pseudomonadota; Betaproteobacteria; Burkholderiales; Burkholderiaceae.
CAUGCAAGUCGAACGGCAGCAUGAUCUAGCUUGCUAGAUUGAUGGCGAGUGGCGAACGGGUGAGUAAUACAUCGGAACGUGCCCUGUAGUGGGGGAUAACUAGUCGAAAGAUUAGCUAAUACCGCAUACGACCUGAGGGUGAAAGUGGGGGACCGCAAGGCCUCAUGCUAUAGGAGCGGCCGAUGUCUGAUUAGCUAGUUGGUGAGGUAAAGGCUCACCAAGGCGACGAUCAGUAGCUGGUCUGAGAGGACGAUCAGCCACACUGGGACUGAGACACGGCCCAGACUCCUACGGGAGGCAGCAGUGGGGAAUUUUGGACAAUGGGGGCAACCCUGAUCCAGCAAUGCCGCGUGUGUGAAGAAGGCCUUCGGGUUGUAAAGCACUUUUGUCCGGAAAGAAAUCGCACUUACUAAUAUUAGGUGUGGAUGACGGUACCGGAAGAAUAAGGACCGGCUAACUACGUGCCAGCAGCCGCGGUAAUACGUAGGGUCCAAGCGUUAAUCGGAAUUACUGGGCGUAAAGCGUGCGCAGGCGGUUGUGCAAGACCGAUGUGAAAUCCCCGGGCUUAACCUGGGAAUUGCAUUGGUGACUGCACGGCUAGAGUGUGUCAGAGGGGGGUUAGAAUUCCACGUGUAGCAGUGAAAUGCGUAGAGAUGUGGAGGAAUACCGAUGGCGAAUGCAGCCCCCUGGGAUAACACUGACGCUCAUGCACGAAAGCGUGUGGAGCAANCAGGAUUAGAUACCUUGGUAGUCCACGCCCUAAACGAUGUCAACUAGUUGUUGGGGAUUCAUUUCCUUAGUAACGUAGCCAACGCGUGAAGUUGACCGCCUGGGGAGUACGGUCGCAAGAUUAAAACUCAAAGGAAUUGACGGGGACCCGCACAAGCGGUGGAUGAUGUGGAUUAAUUCGAUGCAACGCGAAAAACCUUACCUACCCUUGACAUGCCACUAACGAAGCAGAGAUGCAUUAGGUGCUCGAAAGAGAAAGUGGACACAGGUGCCGCAUGGCUGUCGUCAGCUCGUGUCGUGAGAUGUUGGGUUAAGUCCCGCAACGAGCGCAACCCUUGUCUCUAGUUGCUACGAAAGGGCACUCUAGAGAGACUGCCGGUGACAAACCGGUGGAAGGUGGGGAUGACGUCAAGUCCUCAUGGCCCUUAUGGGUAGGGCUUCACACGUCAUACAAUGGUGCAUACAGAGGGUUGCCAAGCCGCGAGGUGGAGCUAAUCCCAGAAAAUGCAUCGUAGUCCGGAUCGUAGUCUGCAACUCGACUACGUGAAGCUGGAAUCGCUAGUAAUCGCGGAUCAGCAUGCCGCGGUGAAUACGUUCCCGGGUCUUGUACACACCGCCCGUCACACCAUGGGAGUGGGUUUUGCCAGAAGUAGUUAGCCUAACCGCAAGGGGGGCGAUACCACGGCAGGGUUCAUGACUGGGGUGAAGUCGUA